Molecule: ribosomal RNA, 484 nt
Filed under: uncultured bacterium
Lineage: Bacteria
Description: partial 16S ribosomal RNA
Rfam family: Bacterial small subunit ribosomal RNA
Source: RNAcentral
AUUGAACGCUGGCGGCAGGCCUAACACAUGCAAGUCGAGCGGAUGAAGGGAGCUUUCUCCUGUAUUCAGCGGCGGACGGGUGAGUAAUGCCUAGGAAUCUGCCUUAUCUUUGGGGAUAACGUCCGUAAACGGGCGCUAAUACCGCAUCCGUCCUGAUGUAGAAAGUGGGGGAUCUUCAGACCUCACGCUUUCAGCUGUGCCUAAGUCGGAUUAGCUAGUUGGUAGGGUAAAGGCCUACCAAGGCAACGAUGCGUAACUGAUCUGAGAGGAUGAUCGGCCACACUGGAACUGAGACACGGUCCAGACUCCUACGGGAGGCAGCAGUAGGGAAUCUUCCGCAAUGGGCGAAAGCCUGACGGAGCAACGCCGCGUGAGUGAUGAAGGUCUUCGGAUCGUAAAACUCUGUUAGUAGGGAAGAACAAAUGUGAAAGUAACUAUGCACGUCUUGACGGUACCAAAUCAGAAAGCCACGGCUAACUACGUG